Long non-coding RNA from Siniperca chuatsi (mandarin fish), 157 nucleotides. RefSeq lists it as uncharacterized. The transcript is spliced from 3 exons. NCBI's taxonomy places the organism in Eukaryota, Metazoa, Chordata, Actinopteri, Centrarchiformes, Sinipercidae. The record is from RefSeq and is a predicted model, not a curated record.
GUUCAGACCUGUGCUCUUCCAAUGUCUGAUUUUCAUGUUGUAUAGUUGUCUUACCUGCGACUUUUACGGUCUUUUCAGUGAAUGAGAAGCAGUCAUGUUCUGCUCUGCAUGUUAUAUGCUUCAGUCGUUUCCACUGGCUUGACGAAAGCGUUACAUU